This is a long non-coding RNA of Saccostrea cuccullata (small rock oyster), 250 nucleotides long. RefSeq lists it as uncharacterized. The record is from RefSeq and is a predicted model, not a curated record. The transcript is spliced from 3 exons. NCBI's taxonomy places the organism in Eukaryota, Metazoa, Mollusca, Bivalvia, Ostreida, Ostreidae.
UCAACUGUCUGGUAACGGUAGGAUAUUACAAAUACACAAAACAAAAUCGGGAUAUGGAGGAAGUUACCAGUGUGUAGUAGAAAACAGCGAGGGCGUUGCAGUGGCGAACUUUCUUGUACGCAAUACACCUUUUGAGUAUGAACGUCAUUGGGUGGUUAAAAACAGAACAAUAAUAAUAGUGACUAUUUUUUCAACAUUGGGUGCUGUUAUGCUAGUAAUGCUGGGUUUUGUGAUCAGAAAAAGGUAGGCU